Molecule: unclassified non-coding RNA, 263 nt
Filed under: uncultured fungus
Lineage: Eukaryota; Fungi
Description: partial contains small subunit ribosomal RNA, internal transcribed spacer 1, and 5.8S ribosomal RNA
Rfam family: Eukaryotic small subunit ribosomal RNA (bases 1-73)
Source: RNAcentral
UCAAACUUGGUCAUUUAGAGGAAGUAAAAGUCGUAACAAGGUCUCCGUAGGUGAACCUGCGGAGGGAUCAUUACUGAGUUAUCUAACUCCCAAACCAAUGUGAACUUACCACUGUUGCCUCGGCGGCAGUCCUCUGUAAAAGGAGGCGGCCGCCGGUGGACUACUAAACUCUUGUUAAUUUUUGUCAUUCUGAAUAACAAACUUAAUAAGUUAAAACUUUCAACAACGGAUCUCUUGGUUCUGGCAUCGAUGAAGAACGCAGC